This is a long non-coding RNA of Mustela erminea (ermine), 776 nucleotides long. RefSeq lists it as uncharacterized. The transcript has 6 exons. The record is from RefSeq and is a predicted model, not a curated record. Lineage: Eukaryota; Metazoa; Chordata; Mammalia; Carnivora; Mustelidae.
ACCUACCAGAGGUGUGAACAUGCCUUGGUGAUUUUUCAACUCCAAGUUAAGAAAAUAUCUCACCAGGAUAUGAAAAGAGGCUUAGUUUCUUAGUAAAUCAAAUAUAUCUCACUGGAUUCUGAGAUCAGGGAAUUAAGAAUCAACACGAUGCUAAGAUAUGAAACCUUCUGGAUGAUACAAAACUGCCUACAGGCAAGACUCAGCGCCAUUGAAUGAAUCAAAAGAAUGUACUUGGAGUUUGUAUUAUUGCUUCAGACAUGCCAAACAUUUGAGCCUAUCUACUCUCAGAUUAUCAUCAUGGACCCUCCAUAAAAGUGACCCUUACUCAACUCUGGUUUGGAAAAAGAUGGUCCUCCAUCUGACCUCUCAUAAGAAGUAUUCCUGCCCAGAUGAAAUGAAGGUACUCAUAGAGCCUGAUUGCCGUGAUUUCAGACGACGAUCAGUUGACAAGGAAAGAGAAUCCUAAAGUUCCUGACCUUUCAGGAAGUGUACUGGAUGUGAGGACACCCGAGAACAAUUGCCUACUGGAUCCAAGUUCCACAUGGGUGUGGAAAAUCUCUUAAGACCCCUUACUUGAUGGCACGGCUGGUUUAGGAGUCCACUGUCAGGUACUACUUGAAAUAUUUAAUGUUUCUUGGAAAGGUGUUAUCUUGAUUAACCCGGCUCUCCACGAAAGGCAACCCUGGGCCAGGAGACAUGCGUCAGUGAGGGACCACCCUCCCCCCCCCCCCGCCCCCUUCCCUCUACCCCCAACCCCUCCACUAUAGCUCGUUAGU